AACGAACGCUGGCGGCAUGCCUAACACAUGCAAGUCGAACGAGGGCUUCGGCCCUAGUGGCGCACGGGUGAGUAACGCGUGGGAACCUGCCCUGUGGUACGGAAUAACUCCGGGAAACUGGAGCUAAUACCGUAUGUGUCUUGAGGGACAAAGAUUUAUCGCCAUGGGAUGGGCCCGCGUAGGAUUAGCUUGUUGGUGGGGUAACGGCCUACCAAGGCAACGAUCCUUAGCUGGUCUGAGAGGAUGAUCAGCCACACUGGGACUGAGACACGGCCCAGACUCCUACGGGAGGCAGCAGUGGGGAAUAUUGGACAAUGGGCGCAAGCCUGAUCCAGCAAUGCCGCGUGAGUGAUGAAGGCCUUCGGGUUGUAAAGCUCUUUCGCACGCGACGAUGAUGACGGUAGCGUGAGAAGAGCCCCGGCUAACUUCGUG
This 432-nucleotide ribosomal RNA is filed under the name uncultured bacterium. RNAcentral describes it as "bacterial SSU rRNA". It matches the Rfam family "Bacterial small subunit ribosomal RNA", at positions 29 to 507 of the family's 1533-position model. The record is from RNAcentral.